ACCGACGUUAGGUCAGACCCCUAACCCUGGUUUGGCCUACUAUCCAACACACACACCGUUGACCAACCACUGAUCGAACCAAACUCUGAAGUUUCGGCUGUCGUUAAUCGGCAGUUUUAACGGAAACAACUCUCAACAACGGAAAUCUUGGAUCUCGCAACGAUGAAGAACGCAACGAAAUGCGAUACGUAGUGUGAAUUGCACAAUUCCGUGAACCAUCGAAUCUUUGAACGCAUAUUGCGCUCGACUCCUCGGAGAAGAGCAUGUCUGCCUCAGCGUCGGUUUACACCCUCACCCCUCUUCCUUACCAGGAAGCUUGUCGUGCUUGCUCAAGCCGGCAUCAGGGGUGGAUCUGGCCCUCCCAAUCGGACUCACCUCCGAUUGGGUUGGCUGAAGCACAGAGGCUUAAACUGGGACCCGAAUCGGGCUCAACCGCCCCAGGUAGCAACACCCUCGGGUGCCUACACGAAGUUGUGUCUGAGGACCUGGUUAGGAGCCAAGCAGGAAACGCGUCUCCGGCGCGUAUCUCUGUAUUCGACCUGAGCUCAGGCGAGGCUACCCGCUGAACUUAAGCAUAUCACUAAGCGGAGGGAAAGAAAG
RNAcentral lists this ribosomal RNA (600 nucleotides) under Desmodesmus subspicatus. Its description in RNAcentral is "eukaryotic LSU rRNA". The stretch from base 128 to 281 matches the Rfam family "5.8S ribosomal RNA". The record is from RNAcentral. Lineage: Eukaryota; Viridiplantae; Chlorophyta; Chlorophyceae; Sphaeropleales; Scenedesmaceae.